This 73-nucleotide transfer RNA is filed under the name Ixodes scapularis (black-legged tick). RNAcentral describes it as "tRNA-Tyr". The record is from RNAcentral. Lineage: Eukaryota; Metazoa; Arthropoda; Arachnida; Ixodida; Ixodidae.
CCCUGGUUAGUUCAGUUGGUAGAGCACUCCACGGUAAAUGGAGAGGUCCCGGGUUCGACACCCGGACCAGGCG